This 19-nucleotide non-coding RNA is filed under the name Arabidopsis thaliana (thale cress). Lineage: Eukaryota; Viridiplantae; Streptophyta; Magnoliopsida; Brassicales; Brassicaceae. The record is from RNAcentral.
UGACAGAGAGGAGCUUAAG